CUGCUAUCCAAUCAUUCAAGGAGUGGGCAUGAAAACUGCAAUAAGAACCUGUGUGCCUGGGCAGUGCUGGUGUACUUAGAAGCAGGGGACUUGCCUUUUAAGCAGAAGAGUGCCUCCGAACAUCAGUAUCUGCAGAUCUUUUCUUGGAAACUAUUCACUGUCUUCAGAGAGAAUUCCCUUAACUGCCUUUGUGUUUGAGAGCAAGCCUGAUUUCAAGCCUUUGUGGAGAAGAGUGGUAGAAGGAACUACCUCCUGGGAGCAUCAAGACUUUCGGUCACUAAGAAGACCAAGCAUUGAGACUCUGGUUCAGUUUCUCAGAGAAUGAAUGUCUUAUCCUGUUACAAUGAGAAGCAAGAACAUGGUUACCUGGUUGCAAACGAUGAGAGAAUGUUGUACCUAUGGAGUGUGGGCUGGAAUGGAUUAUUGAGGCAUGAGGAAGAGGAGGAGGAGGAGGAGGACGACAUCUGCACAAAGGGUGUCAAGUGUGGGAGUUGGCGCCUGGACUGGGAGAGAGGAGCAUCCACACAGCUUACGGCCUGGUAUGCAGUCUCAGAGAGAAGAUUGUCCUCUAGGAGGAUUUCAUACCACAGAGUGUGGGAGCCCAGAGAGUGAGAAGGGGAUCACACUCUCCUCUGAUUUUGAUUCUCCUGAUUCUAUUUUAAAAGGACCCUUGUGACUGCAUUCAGCCAACCUAAACAGUCCAGGAAAUCUCCCCAUCUCGAAAUCCUUAGCAACAUCUACAAAGAUUAUUGGCCCUCUUUUGAGCUGAGGGGAACAGGAGAGAAUGCUGAAACAAAGUAUAAAAUGAGGGAACAAAAGUGGAAAUAUUGCCCUGACUCCUACUCACCCUGAGAACUGUCUCCAAAGGAAACUGGACCUGAGAACAUGUAAACUUGAAGCUGUCCGCAAAGAUCAUGUUCUUCCAUACACAUAAAGAAGCAGAGGACACCAAUGUGUGGAUUAUUUAUAAGGCAAGAUGAGUUCCUCUUUGCCUGGGACACUUCCUAUUUACAUCUAUUGUCUGUCUCAGUACAAUUACUAAUAGUGCCUUCUUUUAAAAUGUCUUGACUUAGAAGCCAAAUCAUUCAAGACUCUUUAAUGGCAAAUAUUAGCAGCUCAGUUUGAAGAGCAGCUGCCUAGGUAUCAUUCCAGGUUCCUUCAUGCAAGUUAAGAGACAUAACUUUAAAUAUUUGGAAAGAAAAGAGUCCAAAUUUACUUCCAUGAGGGAUCAAGUGCCCUUGAAUUAUGAAGGCUCCUAAAUCUUACCUUUGAUAAGGGGAAAACUACCAUUCUGAAACUGAGUCUUCUAUAUGUGUUGUUGUGUGGGCCUUUGCUAUUAUUGCUGAUAUGCAGAAUAUAUGACUCUAAUAUACUGAUACAAGAUAUGAUACAAAGACUUUGCCAAUCCAUUUUUGGACAUAUAUUUAAUAGCAAGUUUUCUGUGUGGGUGUCUGAUAAGGGACUGUGGCCAUCACUGGGUUUUAAGACUUACAAUUCAAGAAUCAAAAUACAUCAUGUAAAGGUACAA
This is a non-coding RNA of Heterocephalus glaber (naked mole-rat), 1528 nucleotides long. The record is from RefSeq and is a predicted model, not a curated record. NCBI's taxonomy places the organism in Eukaryota, Metazoa, Chordata, Mammalia, Rodentia, Bathyergidae.